UACGUAGGGCGCAAGCGUUAUCCGGAAUUAUUGGGCGUAAAGAGCUCGUAGGCGGUUUGUCGCGUCUGCCCGUGAAAGUCCGGGGCUCAACUCCGGAUCUGCGGUGGGUACGGGCAGACUAGAGUGAUGUAGGGGAGACUGGAAUUCCUGGUGUAGCGGUGAAAUGCGCAGAUAUCAGGAGGAACACCGAUGGCGAAGGCAGGUCUCUGGGCAUUAACUGACGCUGAGGUGCGAAAGCGUGGGGAGCAAACAGG
Molecule: ribosomal RNA, 254 nt
Filed under: uncultured bacterium
Lineage: Bacteria
Description: partial 16S ribosomal RNA
Rfam family: Bacterial small subunit ribosomal RNA
Source: RNAcentral